AGUGAACGCUGGCGGCGUGCUUAACACAUGCAAGUCGAACGAGAAACGGAUUUAGCUUGCUAAAUUGCAGUCUAAGUGGCGCACGGGUGAGUAAUGUAUAGGUAAUAUGCCUCUUACUAAGGGAUAACAAUUGGAAACGAUUGCUAAUACCUUAUAUGCCUUUAAGACUAAAGUCUGCAAGGGAAAGAUUUAUUGGUAAGAGAUUAGCCUGUAUUGUAUCAGCUAGUUGGUGAGGUAAUGGCUCACCAAGGCUAUGACGCAUAACUGGUUUGAGAGGAUGAUCAGUCACACUGGAACUGAGACACGGUCCAGACUCCUACGGGAGGCAGCAGUGGGGAAUAUUGCACAAUGGACGAAAGUCUGAUGCAGCAACGCCGCGUGGAGGAUGACACAUUUCGGUGCGUAAACUCCUUUUAUAUAGGAAGAUAAUGACGGUACUAUAUGAAUAAGCACCGGCUAACUCCGUGCCAGCCGCCGCGGUAA
This 483-nucleotide ribosomal RNA is filed under the name uncultured bacterium. RNAcentral's name for it is "partial 16S ribosomal RNA". It matches the Rfam family "Bacterial small subunit ribosomal RNA", at positions 29 to 523 of the family's 1533-position model. The record is from RNAcentral.